AUGCUCAAGGUCCAGGGCUACUCGCGACUCGAGACUAUGCACGGCGGCAACGGCAGCUACGUGGAGUCCAACGCGUUCAAGGCAGCAGGCCACACCUGGAUGUUCCGUUGCUACCUCGACGGGGCGCGCCCGGAGGACGCCGGCUUCAUCUCGCUGUUCCUCAAGGUUGCCUCCACCGACAACGCCCCCGCCGCCGAUGCUACCACCGGCAACGCCCUCGCCGCCGAUGCCACCACCAGCAACGCCGCCGCCACCGGCAACGCCCCCGUCGAUGCCGCCACCGCUGAGAGCGUCGUCCACGCCGAGUACGAGUUGGCCCUGGUGCACCACCGAGGCACGCUGGUAAAGUGGCCGUCACGCCGCGUGCGGGGGUGCGCCUCCGCCUUUCACUCGAGCAACAUGUGGGGCUUCCCGCAGUUCAUCAGCAAGAAGGACCUUGAGGGCUCCAGGUUCCUCAAGCACGACUGUUUCGCCGUCCGGUGCAAGGUCACCGUGGUCCAGGAGUGGAGCAUCAAGGAAGAGGACGCGAGGCCCCCUGGCCCUGGGAACGGCGUUUGCUUGGUUUCUCUCUAG
This 573-nucleotide ribosomal RNA is filed under the name Triticum aestivum (bread wheat). RNAcentral's name for it is "partial small subunit ribosomal RNA". The record is from RNAcentral. Lineage: Eukaryota; Viridiplantae; Streptophyta; Magnoliopsida; Poales; Poaceae.